UGGGGAAUAUUGGACAAUGGGCGCAAGCCUGAUCCAGCCAUGCCGCGUGAGUGAUGAAGGCCUUAGGGUUGUAAAGCUCUUUCAUCAGGGACGAUAAUGACGGUACCUGAAGAAGAAGCCCCGGCUAACUACGUGCCAGCAGCCGCGGUAAUACGAAGGGGGCUAGCGUUGUUCGGAUUUACUGGGCGUAAAGGGUGCGUAGGCGGAUUUUUAAGUCAGGGGUGAAAUCCCAAGGCUCAACCUUGGAACUGCCUUUGAUACUGGGAAUCUUGAGUCCGGGAGAGGUGAGUGGAACUGCGAGUGUAGAGGUGAAAUUCGUAGAUAUUCGCAAGAACACCAGUGGCGAAGGCGGCUCACUGGCCCGGAACUGACGCUGAGGCACGAAAGCGUGGGGAGCAAAC
Molecule: ribosomal RNA, 401 nt
Filed under: uncultured bacterium
Lineage: Bacteria
Description: bacterial SSU rRNA
Rfam family: Bacterial small subunit ribosomal RNA
Source: RNAcentral